UACGGAGGAUGCGAGCGUUAUCCGGAUUUAUUGGGUUUAAAGGGUGCGCAGGCGGAUUUUUAAGUCAGCGGUAAAAUCGAGGGGCUCAACCCCUUUAAGCCGUUGAAACUGGUGAUCUUGAGUGGGCGAGAAGUAUGCGGAAUGCGCGGUGUAGCGGUGAAAUGCAUAGAUAUCGCGCAGAACCCCGAUUGCGAAGGCAGCGUGCCGUGCCGCCACUGACGCUGAGGCACGAAAGCGCGGGUAUCGAACAGG
RNAcentral lists this ribosomal RNA (252 nucleotides) under uncultured Bacteroidales bacterium. RNAcentral describes it as "partial 16S ribosomal RNA". It matches the Rfam family "Bacterial small subunit ribosomal RNA", at positions 524 to 776 of the family's 1533-position model. Lineage: Bacteria; Pseudomonadati; Bacteroidota; Bacteroidia; Bacteroidales. The record is from RNAcentral.